CUGGAGGACUGGGAUGCUGAGCUCCCAUUAGCGCGGGACUUUGGAGACACCUCUGUGAUCGGGGAGUCCGUCAGCGUGACAUUGAUGAGCGUCAGAGCAAGGUAGACCUGAGUGUCCUAGGGUCUACCUUGGCGAUGGCUGACGAUGUGUCAGCACCUCACUGAAUGACACUUAAGUCUGUGGAAGAGCUUGUCCGUUUCCUGGUCGACCACGAGGAGACGGACUUCAUCCCUUCCUUCUUUGAUGAUUUCCA
Molecule: long non-coding RNA, 253 nt
Organism: Solea solea (common sole)
Lineage: Eukaryota; Metazoa; Chordata; Actinopteri; Pleuronectiformes; Soleidae
Exons: 3
Source: RefSeq, a predicted model, not a curated record